UUUGCAGUUAAUACUUCACAAUUUGUCACUACUUUGUAUCCGUGAAGUGUUAAAAUGUCACCGAGGGCUCAUGGUAAAAAAUAAAUAAAUUAAAAAAAAAAAUAGUGAAAAAAAGUACAAAAAUGGACAAAACAAUAAAUGUGCAGAUAUUUACAUUAUAAACUUUGCAAAGAAGCACUAUUAUUUGACAGAUUUUUCCUGAUUUGUUAGAGGGAUGCAAUAUGCCUGAAGAUUGAACCCAGAGAGCAGUACAUCUUUGUAUUAUUUAUAUGAAUGCAAAAUAUAAAACUAAUAACAUAUAUUCUAAAAUUAUGAUGAAAAAUCCCACUUUCAUGAAAUUGGCUAAAACCUUUAUAUAUGUAUUCUGCAUUUAAUUACAGAUUAUUAUUGUCAUUUUUUGAACAGUUGUACUUUAUUUAGGAAAGAAUAAAAAGCACGGUAUAAAUAUUAGCAUGCAUUGUCUGUAAAAAUAUAAUACAUUUGGUGGCAUUCCAUAAAACUAAAAAUAACUCUUGCAAUACAUUAGUGUCUGUAAUUUUACAGAGCUGCAAUCAUUUUUCUGUUAUUUUCUCUAAAAAGUCUUCCUUUUAUUUACAGUGCAGACAUUGGUUCUGUUUGGACUGACAUGCAGCAAAAAUGCUAAAGGGAUUACAGCAUGCUGGCACAAAGUCUUUCAGCCAUGUUGUUUAGCCGUCUCUCUCACAUGUCUGGUGGAACAGAAACGCAUUUGUUCCAAUCAAUCCAGCUGUAGUCACACUAUACACCCAUAAAUUUUUCAUGCUUAUUUGUUCUCUGCUCUGGCAAACUAUGGUUCAGUACUGGGCCUGAAGCCCUCCUGUGUAGGUACAGAUGAAACACAAUGUGCUGUGCAGACAGUGUGGACAGCUUUAAUUAUAGCUCACUGGGAGCAUGAGUGUACUAGUCUGCCUCAGAUCAUGUCAUAUCUAAUAAGCAAACUUGACUUUUUGCGUAGAGUUUAUCCUCUGAAGAGCAUGAAUGGGCUUUUCUUGUGCACAAAUGGGAUUUUUAGUCAGAUGUUGUGCUGGAGAGUAGGCGGUAGGUACAAUAUUUUUGCCUGACAUCAUGGCCAGACACUGACCUAGACUGAUUCAUGUAGGCCCCAGCCCAGCUAAGGGCUGACACUUUGCAAACUUUCUUUAUCCUGAACCCAACUUGAACCUACACCCACUGUCCUAUUACCAGAGUGCUAUUCAUUUGAUUUUGUCUCCGUUCCUUUAGGCUUCUCUCACUCUCUCCCACCUAAUUCACACAUACCCUCAGACACUGCAGGUGCAGACACUUGACCUUUUGACCUUUCCAGAGCUUCCACAAUUCAGAUUUCCUAGGAAACUAGACAUUUAUCUAUUGUAAUCUUUAUAUUCACCAACAGCAGAGCAAACUGAUAACACUGACAUCGCCUGAUAGUAAAACAAAGUUGCAAUGAUGGAUGUAAUUGGCACAUUAUUGUAAAACUAUAUCUGCAAAAAGAAAUCAUAGCUAUCAGGCACUCUGCUAUUGAUACAGCUUUACAAAUGAGUGAGCAUCGUGACAUGCAGAGACAUAAUAUUACCUGCAUUGUGCUGAGCAAUUCAUCUUAAAGAUAUGUGAGAUUUAAAUGUCUCAUGGCUUUUUCACCACAUUUUGUAUGGAGAGAAUUUUGUUUCUUUGUUAUUCAAUCAAUCAAAAAAGGUUAUGCAACCAAAAAAGAGACUUGAGACCAAAAAACAUAAAGUUGCAAUCAAAAAAAUAAAAGAUCAAUCAAAUAGAAUAGAUCUGAGACCAAAAAAAAAUAACUGGCAACCCCCCCAAAAAAUUUUUGAGAUCAAAACAGAACAGGUUGCAAAUAAAAAUAUAGUAAUUUGAGAACAUAUUGACUUAAAUUCAAUCAAAACUAAUAUUUUUUGCUUGCAAGUUCAAAAGUUUUGCUUGCAAGUUCAAAAGUUUAGUUGUGAAUUCUAAAGUUUUGGUUGCGAAUUCUAAAGUUUUGCUUGCAAGCUCAAAGGUUUUGGUUGCGAAUCUGACUGAACCAAAUGGGCGGGGCCAAUGCUGGUGGAAGAGACAAGAGUUCCUAUUAGUCGGUUUGACCUUGCUCCACUGCCAGUCAUCGCCGCUCCCCUCUGUGCUGUUGCUGGCUGCUUCCGCACAAGCUUCACUCCUAUGAGGACAUCAGGACAGGACAGGGUGUAGUCGCCAAAUAUUGUUCAUAUUCCAUCAGUGUCCUACACUUGUCAAUAAAAUAAUUGUUCACUGAGAAAA
Long non-coding RNA from Acanthochromis polyacanthus (spiny chromis), 2256 nucleotides. RefSeq lists it as uncharacterized. The transcript is spliced from 2 exons. The record is from RefSeq and is a predicted model, not a curated record. Lineage: Eukaryota; Metazoa; Chordata; Actinopteri; Pomacentridae.